Molecule: ribosomal RNA, 254 nt
Filed under: uncultured bacterium
Lineage: Bacteria
Description: partial 16S ribosomal RNA
Rfam family: Bacterial small subunit ribosomal RNA
Source: RNAcentral
UACGAAGGGGGCUAGCGUUGUUCGGAAUUACUGGGCGUAAAGCGUAUGUAGGCGGAUCGUUAAGUCGGGGGUGAAAUCCCGAGGCUCAAUCUCGGAACUGCCUUCGAUACUGGCGAUCUUCGAGUCCGGGAGAGGUGAGUGGAACUCCGAGUGUAGAGGUGAAAUUCGUAGAUAUUCGGAAGAACACCAGUGGCGAAGGCGGCUCACUGGCCCGGUACUGACGCUGAAAUACGAAAGCGUGGGGAGCAAACAGG